CUAAAAUUUUAUGGUGCAAGAUGAGCAUGCCCAGAAACGUUCCUGUCCAUCACUGUAAUCUCUGUGACCUUAAACUGAGCAUGCUCAGGAACGGUUACCUCCGUGUGAAUGUGUGUCAGCUCCCUGAAUGAAAGCCCCACGCUUGCUUUGCUGCCAGUGUUGCUCUGGAAAUGACUCUCUUGGUCUCCUUGCCUGUUGCAGGGGCAUCUCUGCAUCAUUAGCCUUGCAAAACGGUCUGUUCCUACCACGCAUCAGACUCCAUGACACAUCCAAGACUCUCACAGAAGCACAAAAGGGGGAAGCAAACUAUUUUAGAGAAGUCUUCAUCAAUUUCUAUGAGGCCUCCCAUGUCCUUAACUCAUAAACACCCUCCCCUCUGUUGAAGAGAGCCUGUAAGAGCCCCUCCAGAUCCUCGGUUAUGCAUCUUUCCCAAGAGGCUUGCUCUCACUCCAAGCAUGUUCUUUCUCUAUGAAAUCACACUUUCUCCUGAUUACUUAAUAAAAAAAAUCAACUGUGUGCAUUCACUCAGAAAUAUUUAUUGACCUACUAUGUGCCUGGGACACCAAAUAAGCAAAAUGAAGCCCCCUGCUCUGUAAGAGCUAACAUUCUAACACAAUAAACUUAAUAAAACACAAAAAA
This is a long non-coding RNA of Rattus norvegicus (Norway rat), 639 nucleotides long. RefSeq lists it as uncharacterized. Lineage: Eukaryota; Metazoa; Chordata; Mammalia; Rodentia; Muridae. The record is from RefSeq and is a predicted model, not a curated record.